RNAcentral lists this ribosomal RNA (253 nucleotides) under uncultured bacterium. RNAcentral describes it as "partial 16S ribosomal RNA". It matches the Rfam family "Bacterial small subunit ribosomal RNA", at positions 524 to 776 of the family's 1533-position model. The record is from RNAcentral.
UACGGAGGGGGCUAGCGUUGUUCGGAAUUACUGGGCGUAAAGCGCACGUAGGCGGCUUUGCAAGUUAGAGGUGAAAGCCCAGGGCUUAACCCUGGAAUUGCCUUUAAAACUGCAUCGCUAGAAUUGUGGAGAGGUAAGUGGAAUUCCGGGUGUAGCGGUGGAAUGCGUAGAGAUCCGGAAGAACACCGGUGGCGAAGGCGGCCUGCUGGGCUAUGGCUGACACUGAGGCGCGACAGCGUGGGGAGCAAACAGG